GUCACCCAUCACAGCCCAAGUGACUGGAGCGCACGCGUCCUCCACCUCUGCCAUCUUCCUCCUUAGACGGCAGCCCAAGGAAUUAUCUUGGAUGUGGACAAAGAUUUAUAAACAUUACUGGUCCUCAAAGGCUGCGCAUUACGGCUCUCACUAUGCAGCGCUGGUUGACUUGGAACUCACUCUGUAAGACCAGGCUGGCCUGGAACCCAGCGAUCUGCCUGCCUCUGCCUCCUGAGUGCUGGGAUGAAAGGCGUGCACCACCACUGACCUGCCUCCCAGACUGUCUUGCUCGAGCUAGGGUCCUCCAUCUUGUAUCUGGAAAGCCUGAGUGAGCAGGUGCAAGGGAUUUGCCCCUUUCUGCUCUUGGUCACCAUGUUUGUGCCUCGUUCUAGAGGAGGCCAGAAGAGAGCCUCAGAAGCAUGCGACUGGACUUACAGCUGUGAACCACUGUAGUUCCCAGCCACCGUGUGAGUGCUCGGAAUCGAACCUGGGUCUUCUGGAAUAACUGCCAGUGCUCUCCAACGCUGAAUCACUCCUGGCUCUAGAAAUGGCAAUUUUAGUGGCUCAGAGGAGACUACUCAAUGGUGUGGUAUUCAAGAAAUUCCUCCCCAAAGGGGGAGAGAAAGGCCCACGUUUGAGAGGCGAGUGGGUGAGCUAGAAGUGUGCAUUUGGAGGAUGGUGGCUUGAGAGCGGGUUGGGGGUUACAUGGAGAGGAAAUGACCUCGAGAAAGGACUGACUUUCUUGUCAUCCACGUGUGCCUGCCCAGGUGGCAGGUGGCACCAUCUAACCUGAGUCUUUCUGGAUCUCAGCUACCUGCUCACUCUCCAGUGUUCCUCCCCGCCCCCCCCCCCCAUGAAUCCCUAUCAGUCAUUCACACUCUAAACACAGGACCAACCCUAUCUCUUGACUUGUCUUUGCUGAGGUAGAAAGGGGAUAAUCUCAGAUGGGGACCUUGAGAUUUCUCUCCUUCAGUGACACAUGUGGACUUGCCACUCUGCUUGCCUAAGCAACUUUUUCCUUGACCUGGAGUGUGGACUUGGGGUGGCAGCUGGGGUCUGAUGUAUCUGUGUUGGGGUUCCAGGAGGGCACACAGCACAUAGCUUCUCUCUAUAGGAAGGCUGUGCGCCUCAGUCACCUAGUGGCUAAAGGGAGAGGCUUCAGGAUGUGUCAGGUGGAGGGUGGGUGGGGGCCACAACCAGGACUCAGGUUACAACUGUUCCACCAAAGUUCAAGUUAGGCAGCAGGAGAAAACCGGGGUGUCUUCUAGAGUCCUCACAGUCUGGAAUUCAAUUCCAGACCAAACUGAGCCACCGUUUGUUGUUGUUGGUGGUGUUUUUAGACAGGGUUUCUCUGUCCUAGCUCCAUAGACCAGGCUGGCCUUGAACUCAGAUAUCCCUCUGCCUCUGCCUCUGCCUCUGCCUCCGCCUCCUCUGGGAGUUCAAAGCUUCAGGUUUUGUGAGAUGGGGAGAGAUAGAGGCAGACACCCGAUGUCCUCCUCUGAUCCCCCGACACACACAUAUGCUUAAGCUCUGUGUGCAUGCUCACAUGGAAGGCUGCGCAGCUAGACGGCAUCAAAACGAACACAUCCACACAAUGAUCCCGGGAGAGCCCUCCAGAGAAAGGGCUGGAGACCUAGCAUGGGCUCCUUUCCAUCUUUGCCCUAAGUUUUCUUCCUCCCCAUUCCUCCCCACUCCCCGCCCUGCCUUCUCCUCCUCCACUCACAGGACCCAGUCUGGAUUAAGCUCAUCUUCAUCAAUCCCCUCAUCCUAUUAGGGCUCAGACAGGGACUCUGGACAUGAACCUCGGUGUGUCCUUGUUCUUUGUGUCACACUCUGGCUUAUGGCGGGGCAACUGUGCACGCUGGUGAAGAAAGACAAACCUAUACCCCAGAGGACUUUGAGGAACGAAUUUGGUCCAUGUACCUCACAUCAGACCCAGCCCAUGGACUAACAGCUGGGUGCCCUGGGCAGGCAAGCACCUGAGGAAGCUGGGGGUUCUCUCUUCUCAGGCCACCCUGAGGGCUAAGUGCACCAACCCACACCUACACACUUAACAUCCUGCCCAGCCCACAGUAGAUGAUAAGAAACUUUACUGCCAGCCUCCUUUCACUAAUGAAUCUCUCUAUUUAAAGUGAGGUCUGAGGCUCUAGAUCAGGAGAGCUGCGGGGAGGGAGAGAAGGCUGCAUUUCCCGAUGGGGGGAAAGGUGGGCGGCGUCAAUCUAAUUUCUCAGCUAACGCUACAAUUUGCCAGCCCUUGUAAUUAUUAUUUUUAUUAUGGAUACAAAUUAAAAAUAAACUGAGUGUCGCAAUCACA
Long non-coding RNA from Meriones unguiculatus (Mongolian gerbil), 2314 nucleotides. RefSeq lists it as uncharacterized. The transcript has 2 exons. Lineage: Eukaryota; Metazoa; Chordata; Mammalia; Rodentia; Muridae. The record is from RefSeq and is a predicted model, not a curated record.